CCUACGGGUGGCAGCAGUCGAGAAUCUUUCACAAUGGGGGCAACCCUGAUGGAGCGACGCCGCGUGGAGGAUAAGGUCUUCGGAUUGUAAACUCCUGUCAUGUGUGAACAAGGUUGCGAGGCUAAUACCUUUGCAAAUUGAUGGUAACACAAGAGGAAGAGACGGCUAACUCUGUGCCAGCAGCCGCGGUAAUACAGAGGUCUCAAGCGUUGUUCGGAAUCACUGGGCGUAAAGGGUGCGUAGGUGGCGUGGUAAGUCAGAUGUGAAAGCCCGGGGCUCAACCUCGGAAUUGCAUCCGAUACUGCUAUGCUCGAGUACUGAAGAGGUGACUAGAAUUCUAGGUGUAGCAGUGAAAUGCGUAGAUAUCUAGAGGAAUACCAAAGGCGAAGGCAGGUCACUGGGCAGUUACUGACACUGAGGCACGAAGGCCAAGGGAGCGAACGGGAUUAGAUACCCUUGUAGUC
This 464-nucleotide ribosomal RNA is filed under the name uncultured bacterium. RNAcentral's name for it is "bacterial SSU rRNA". It matches the Rfam family "Bacterial small subunit ribosomal RNA", at positions 338 to 795 of the family's 1533-position model. The record is from RNAcentral.